AACCAACACAGAGACGUCAUUCCUCCCCUCCCUCGGGGUUUCGGGGAACUCGGAGCGGAGCAGAGAAAUAUUGGGGCCCGAUCCACGCAGAAGAGUCUUAAAAUUAGCAUAAAACCAAAACCUGGCUCUUCUCUUUUAGGAUGACUGGCAGUCCUCUCCUUACGACCGCAGGGGAGACCGACAUUUCUGUUGUUAAAUGCUCUGGACUACAACGCCUUCAGUUCCCUCCCAGCGUAUUCCUACAGGCUGGAAAUAUAUUUGCUUAUUUUUUUCAAAGAUCCCAGGUUUAUGAUUCCAGAUUGUUCCUACCUUGUUGCUGUUUAGGAAGAAUGAAAUAUUGUUCUCGGUUCUUCCCUGGAUGAGAGAUCAAAAUGAUCACACACACACACACACACACACACACACACACACACACACACGUCUCAGUUGUGCAAAAUCCUCCACUCAUUCAGCUACAUUUCAAAUGAAACAAUAAAGAAAUAAUGGAAGCAAGCAAGGUUUAGCUGCCUCGAAGCCAGCAAACAAACAAACAAACCAAAAGGAUUUUUUCAAAAAUCAUGCUCUUUUGGUCCUUUCAUAAUUCUGACACCCAUUUGAAUAAAAAGCAGGAAUCUGAUUUGCGAAACAAUAGAUGCUUUCUACAAAAAUAUUCAUAUUAUAACAACCGUUGAAAUAUCAGAAGACGUUAGAAAAACUGAAAUAUGUAAAGCCCCAGGAGUGGAUGGACUUUGGGGUCAAUACUACAAGUGGUUUGAGGAUUACUUUUUAUUUUGUUUUUAUUUUAUUUAGAUGUUUCUUUUCUCCUGCCUUUAUUGCUUUAUAAGUAAUUCAAGGCAACGACCGUUUAACCACUUAAGACUAUAAUGAACUCUGUCUGGCAAGGAUCUGAAAUGCUUCAUUCUCGUAUGGCUUUAUUGCAAAUAAAACCCCUCCAAAACCUCAAAAUUUAACACUAAAAAGACUACACAAUUAUUUCAUUGUUAAACAACCAUUUGACUGCAGUGUUGGCUGAAAGAUUGAAGAUUUUUUUUUUGCAAACCUUUAUUCAUAAGGAUCAAACUGCAUUUUUCCCAAAAAGGUAGUUAAAAGAAAACAUGACAAAUCUUGGAUGUGAUUGAAUAUUCACAAUAAUAAUAACAUUUACAUGAAAAAGAAGCAAGAUUAAUAUUUUGGGAAGCGGAGAAAGCUUUUCGCAAUUUAAAUUUUCCUCUAUGUUUAAAGUUUUGGGAAAUACGGACUUCUCUAGAUAUGGAGAAAUUUUAUUCAAGGCAUUAAAGCAGUAUAUAUGUUGAAUAAAUAAAAAUAACGAAAUAAGUCAUUUUGUAUAUCCUGGCAGGCUGAUAUUAUUGUUAAUGAAGAAUUCACCAAGCCGUGCACAAUUCAAAAGGCUAAAACACAAGGAUGUCCUUUUAUUUUUUUUAGUUUAGUUUGGGAAUUUUGAUGAGAGACAUUAGAGAGGAUGAGAAAAUAUUGGGUUUGGAGAUUAAAAACGAAACGUAUAAAUCGAGAUUCUUUGCUGAUCACUUAGUUUUGAUUUUGCAACAUCCUCAAAAUGGAAUGGAAUAUUUAAUGGAGAAGUUGAAUGCUGCUUUGGACUGCUUUAAGAUAAAAUAAACAGAAAACAAAACCCUUGGUUAAGAAUAUGACUGUACAGGAUCGGUAAAUUUAAAGUGUAGGGGGGAAAAGGGAAAUACCUUGGAGUUAUAUCGACUAAUAUAAAUUCCAAGAUAUUAAAAAAAAUAAAAACAUUAUGAAAGAGAACAAUGAUGUGACUGGAAAGAUAUUAAAAAGGUAUUCCAGUAUAAACAUAUAAUUACAACUUUCUUUACCAGAUAAAAAUUUUGUAAUCAAGAUGAAUAUUUUACCUAAGAUCUUGUUUUUAUUUCAGACUUUACCACUAUCUGAUUACAGAUGUUUUCCUUAAACAAUGCCAGAAAGGUAUUUCCAAGUUAAAUGGCAAGGGGAAGAAAAACGAGAAUUAAAUAUAAAUUGUUGCAGGAUGCUAAAAAGAGAGGAAGAUUGGAUUUACCAGAUGUAAAAUUAUAUUUUGAGGCUUGCUGUUUUGUUUGGAUGAAGGAAUGGGUGACGUUGAAGAAUAAGUGGUUAUUAAAUUUGGAGGGCCAUGAUUUGCCUACAUGUGGCAUGAUUAUCUGAUUAUUUUAUAUUAGUGUAUCACAUCUACAGAGCUCAUGCAAUCACUGAUAUACAAUGGUAAUAAAACACACAAUACAUACAUAAACAAAUACAUUUAAAUAGAGCAUCAGCAAUAUGUAUCUGUGUAUAUUUGCUGAUGCCUAUUUAAACAUAUUUGUGUAUGUAUGUAUAAUCUUUUAUAUAUACAUAUAUAUAA
Crotalus tigris (Tiger rattlesnake) is the source of this 2350-nucleotide long non-coding RNA. RefSeq lists it as uncharacterized. Lineage: Eukaryota; Metazoa; Chordata; Lepidosauria; Squamata; Viperidae. The record is from RefSeq and is a predicted model, not a curated record. The transcript has 3 exons.